Molecule: ribosomal RNA, 787 nt
Filed under: Adenomera martinezi (Martinez's tropical bullfrog)
Lineage: Eukaryota; Metazoa; Chordata; Amphibia; Anura; Leptodactylidae
Description: partial 12S ribosomal RNA
Rfam family: Bacterial small subunit ribosomal RNA
Source: RNAcentral
GCCCUUAAAUCCCCCAUAGGGAUAAGGAGCUGGUAUCAGGCACAUCCAAAUAGCCCAAGACACCUAGCUAUGCCACACCCACAAGGGUUCUCAGCAGUGAUUAACAUUGAACAUCAGCGACAGCUUGAUUCAGUUAAAGUAAUUAGAGCCGGCAAAUCUGGUGCCAGCCGCCGCGGUUACACCACGUGGCUCAAAUUGACCACUAUCGGCGUAAAGAGUGAUUUAAGAGCCCCCCCCAUUUGGCGUCAAAUUUAUACUAAGCUGUGACACGCUUGUCAUUUAGAAGCCCUAAAACGAAAGUUACCCCAACCAAAUCAACUUGAAUUCACGACAACCAAGAAACAAACUGGGAUUAGAUACCCCACUAUGCUUGGCAGUAAACCUUAAAUUACACCUAAAUCGCCUGGGAACUACGAGCAAAGCUUAAAACCCAAGGGACUUGACGGUACCCCAAAUCCACCUAGAGGAGCCUGUCCUAUAAUCGAUAACCCCCGCUUUACCUCACCACUUCUAGCCAAUCAGCCUGUAUACCUCCGUCGUCAGCUUACCACGUGAGCGAAAUAUAGUGAGCUUAAUGCCAUUCCACCAAAACGUCAGGUCAAGGUGCAACUUAUGAAAUGGAAAGAGAUGGGCUACACUCCCUAUCUUAGGGCACACGAAAAACUAUUUAUGAAAUCUAGUUUAAAGGCGGAUUUAGAAGUAAAAAGAAAUCAGAGUGUUCCUUUUAACUCGGCACUGGGGUGUGUACACACCGCCCGUCACCCUCUUCAAAGUCUUAUUGAAGUCU